GAGGGUGUAGCUCAGCGGUAGAGUGCAGCGUUCAGCACGCCCAAGGUCCUGGGUUCAAUCCCCAGUGCCUCCA
RNAcentral lists this transfer RNA (73 nucleotides) under Camelus bactrianus (Bactrian camel). It matches the Rfam family "tRNA". From Rfam's summary of the family: Transfer RNA (tRNA) molecules are approximately 80 nucleotides in length. Their secondary structure includes four short double-helical elements and three loops (D, anti-codon, and T loops). Lineage: Eukaryota; Metazoa; Chordata; Mammalia; Artiodactyla; Camelidae. RNAcentral also lists the same sequence under 1 other name. The record is from Rfam by way of RNAcentral.